This 71-nucleotide transfer RNA is filed under the name Loxodonta africana (African savanna elephant). It matches the Rfam family "tRNA". From Rfam's summary of the family: Transfer RNA (tRNA) molecules are approximately 80 nucleotides in length. Their secondary structure includes four short double-helical elements and three loops (D, anti-codon, and T loops). Further hydrogen bonds mediate the characteristic L-shaped molecular structure. tRNAs have two regions of fundamental functional importance: the anti-codon, which is responsible for specific mRNA codon recognition, and the 3' end, to which the tRNAs corresponding amino acid is attached (by aminoacyl-tRNA synthetases). tRNAs cope with the degeneracy of the genetic code in two manners: having more than one tRNA (with a specific anti-codon) for a particular amino acid; and 'wobble' base-pairing, i.e. permitting non-standard base-pairing at the 3rd anti-codon position. Lineage: Eukaryota; Metazoa; Chordata; Mammalia; Proboscidea; Elephantidae. The record is from Rfam by way of RNAcentral.
GCAUCGGUGACUUAAUGGUAGAAUUUUGACCUUCCGUGUGGAAGACCUGGGUUCGAUUCCUGGCUAGUGCA